RNAcentral lists this ribosomal RNA (538 nucleotides) under Matsumurasca onukii. RNAcentral describes it as "partial 16S ribosomal RNA". It matches the Rfam family "Bacterial large subunit ribosomal RNA", at positions 1798 to 2620 of the family's 2925-position model. The record is from RNAcentral. Lineage: Eukaryota; Metazoa; Arthropoda; Insecta; Hemiptera; Cicadellidae.
GUCUGUUUAACAAAAACAUUUCUUUUAGGUUUAUUUUAAAAGUAAAUUCUGCCCAAUGAUUAAUUAAAUGGCCGCAGUAUUCUAACUGUGCAAAGGUAGCAUAAUAAUUAGUCCCUUAAUUGGGGACUUGUAUGAAUGAUUUCAUGAGGUAUUUAUUAUAUAUAAAUUAUUAAAUUAACUUUAUUUUUUUGUUAAAAAGCUGAAUUGUUUUAGUGGGACGAUAAGACCCUAUAGAACUUAAAUUUAAAUUAGUACAAUUAUUAAUUUUUUAGUAUUAUAUUAAUUUAUUUUUUUUCUGGGGAAGAAUAUAAAUUUUUAAUUUUAUUUUUUUAUUUCAUAUAUUUAUGUUUAUAAGGAUUUAUUUCAUAAUUUUAAGUUAAAGUUACCUUAGGGAUAACAGCGUAAUUUUUAUGGAGAGUUCAUAUCUAUAUAAAAGUUUGCGACCUCGAUGUUGAAUUAAGAUAAAAUUAGGGGGUAGAUUUUCUAAUUAUAAGUCUGUUCGACUUUUCAUUCUUACAUGAUCUGAGUUCAAACCGGA